Molecule: long non-coding RNA, 312 nt
Filed under: Canis lupus familiaris (dog)
Lineage: Eukaryota; Metazoa; Chordata; Mammalia; Carnivora; Canidae
Description: lncRNA (ENSCAFG00845013855.1)
Source: RNAcentral
GUAGCUGAAUCCAGGCCAGAACUAACAUUUGCCCAAGACUGGGUCCCAAAAAGAUGUAGAAUUUGUUUGAAUUUCAGACAUAACCAGGAGACAAAAAGGAGAAGCCACAAGAUGCUCUCCCACCUUCUCCAGCAAGAGGCAACCACCUACCUACCUUCACCUUUGUUACUACCACCAUCACCUAUAAAAAGUACAGCUUUGGCCUUGAAAUGUUGGGUGUGUGUCAAUGCAAGAGUUACGUUGGUAUGCCUUGCAGUUCUCACUUUGAAAUAUGGAACCAGUCCUUUAUGGAAUGAGCUUUGCUGUGCUUAA